UGCCAGCCGCCGCGGUAAUACGGAGGGGGCUAGCGUUGCUCGGAAUUACUGGGCGUAAAGCGCGCGUAGGCGGCGAAUCCAGUCAGGCGUGAAAGCCCAGGGCUUAACCCUGGAACUGCGCUUGAUACUGAUUUGCUAGAAUUCGAGAGAGGGUAGUGGAAUUUCCAGUGUAGAGGUGAAAUUCGUAGAUAUUACACAGAAUACCAAUUGCGAAGGCAGAUCACUAACACUAUAUUGACGCUGAGGGACGAAAGCGUGGGGAGCGAACAGGAUUAGAUA
Molecule: ribosomal RNA, 279 nt
Filed under: uncultured bacterium
Lineage: Bacteria
Description: partial 16S ribosomal RNA
Rfam family: Bacterial small subunit ribosomal RNA
Source: RNAcentral